RNAcentral lists this ribosomal RNA (725 nucleotides) under uncultured Micrococcus sp. RNAcentral's name for it is "bacterial SSU rRNA". It matches the Rfam family "Bacterial small subunit ribosomal RNA", at positions 780 to 1500 of the family's 1533-position model. The record is from RNAcentral. Lineage: Bacteria; Bacillati; Actinomycetota; Actinomycetes; Micrococcales; Micrococcaceae.
AGAUACCCUGGUAGUCCAUGCCGUAAACGUUGGGCACUAGGUGUGGGGACCAUUCCACGGUUUCCGCGCCGCAGCUAACGCAUUAAGUGCCCCGCCUGGGGAGUACGGCCGCAAGGCUAAAACUCAAAGGAAUUGACGGGGGCCCGCACAAGCGGCGGAGCAUGCGGAUUAAUUCGAUGCAACGCGAAGAACCUUACCAAGGCUUGACAUGUUUUCGACCGCCGUAGAGAUACGGUUUCCCCUUUGGGGCGGAUUCACAGGUGGUGCAUGGUUGUCGUCAGCUCGUGUCGUGAGAUGUUGGGUUAAGUCCCGCAACGAGCGCAACCCUCGUUCCAUGUUGCCAGCACGUCGUGGUGGGGACUCAUGGGAGACUGCCGGGGUCAACUCGGAGGAAGGUGGGGACGACGUCAAAUCAUCAUGCCCCUUAUGUCUUGGGCUUCACGCAUGCUACAAUGGCCGGUACAAUGGGUUGCGAUACUGUGAGGUGGAGCUAAUCCCAAAAAGCCGGUCUCAGUUCGGAUUGGGGUCUGCAACUCGACCCCAUGAAGUCGGAGUCGCUAGUAAUCGCAGAUCAGCAACGCUGCGGUGAAUACGUUCCCGGGCCUUGUACACACCGCCCGUCAAGUCACGAAAGUCGGUAACACCCGAAGCCGGUGGCUAACCCUUGUGGGGGGGAGCCGUCGAAGGUGGGACCAGCGAUUGGGACUAAGUCGUAACAAGGUAAC